GCAUCUAACAUCACCUGCGUCUAACAUCACCUGCGUCUAACAUCACCUGUGUCUAACAUCACCUGCACUAACAACUGCUCUCCUAACACCCACCUUUUACCUGCAGGUGGCAACUGAACGAGGUGGUGUAUGUGGGUUACCUCGUGGAUAUCUUCAACGCCCUCGCCUUCAAACUCAAUUUUACGUACAAGAUAGUGCUCCCCAAGGACGAAGAACAGCACACCUUCGGGAUGGGCAGCGCUGACAACUACUCUGGCUUGGUCGGCAUGGUCGUCAGGGGGGAGGCAGACGUCGUCCUCGCCAGCCUCUCUAUCUCAAAGGGACGAUUCAGAGACAUCGACUUCUCAUCUUAUGUCGAACUCUUCGCCUGGCAGAUCUACAUUCGCUACAGCGCCAUUCAGUUUGACAUUGGGU
This is a long non-coding RNA of Homarus americanus (American lobster), 414 nucleotides long. RefSeq lists it as uncharacterized. Lineage: Eukaryota; Metazoa; Arthropoda; Malacostraca; Decapoda; Nephropidae. The record is from RefSeq and is a predicted model, not a curated record. The transcript is spliced from 3 exons.